UGUCUCUGUGGUAGGAUGUGUAGUUCUUUGGCUAGACUGGGAGGAGUGGCACGACGGGGUCAUUUGAUAACUCCAGUUUCAGCUUAUGGAGAACCUUCCACACUGAUCUCCACAGUGGCCGCGGCAGUGUACAUCUCAUUAGUAGUGAGAAACAGCUGUGUGAGACACAUGUGGAGAUGCUGGUCGGAGCCAUUUGAUGGCGUCCAGCUUUGCAUGUCCCCAAGGAGAAGAAAGAAUCCUCCAGCAGGUCCAGGCCGUGCUUCAGGCCAUACAACAUCUGUGGAAAGAAAGGGUGUCAUGUGGAAUUUACAGCAGAUCCUAAUGGGAGAGUCUCCCUAUUGAUGCCCAAGAUUGUGGAGAUAUACAGGAAUGAUGCACCCGCUGAAUGCCAAAUCUUGGCACAGUCUUGGAACCUGAUUUCCACUACCUGGCCCAUGCUAUCAGAUCCUGAUGCAAGGCUGGAGAGAUGGCUCAGCGAUCGGAGUGUCUGCUCUUCCAGAGGACUUGACUUAGUUCCCGGCACCCAUGUCGGGGCUCACAAAUGCCUGUGUCUCCAGCUCCAUGGGUUCCGGUGCUUCCUUUUGGCCCCUACAGGCACCCGCACUCAUGUGCGCUUUGCCACACGAAGACAAAUACCCACACACAUAACUGAAAAUAAAAUAAACCUUA
Molecule: long non-coding RNA, 669 nt
Organism: Mesocricetus auratus (golden hamster)
Lineage: Eukaryota; Metazoa; Chordata; Mammalia; Rodentia; Cricetidae
Exons: 3
Source: RefSeq, a predicted model, not a curated record